UCCCUUUUCAACAACGGAUCUCUUGGCUCUCCCAUCGAUUUAAAACGUAUCGAAGUGCGAUAAGCUAUGUGAAUUGCAAAAAUUCCGUGAAUCAUCGAAUUUUUUAACGCAAUUGCCCUCUCUUGCCCUCCAGAAAUUAUCCUGUUUGAGGCCAAUAAAAAAUCGGAAUUUCUUUUUUUAAAAUCCGGAGUGGGUUACUU
This 200-nucleotide ribosomal RNA is filed under the name uncultured Glomus. Its description in RNAcentral is "5.8S ribosomal RNA". The stretch from base 3 to 155 matches the Rfam family "5.8S ribosomal RNA". Rfam says of the family: 5.8S ribosomal RNA (5.8S rRNA) is a component of the large subunit of the eukaryotic ribosome. It is transcribed by RNA polymerase I as part of the 45S precursor that also contains 18S and 28S rRNA. The record is from RNAcentral. Lineage: Eukaryota; Fungi; Glomeromycota; Glomeromycetes; Glomerales; Glomeraceae.